GGGAGAGUAACACGUAGGUAACCUGCCCUGAAAUGGGGGAUAACCGCGGGAAACUGUGGCUAAUACCGCAUACGCCCUGAGGGGGAAAGCGGGGGAUUCUUCGGAACCUCGCGUGAUUGGAGCGGCCGAUGUCGGAUUAGCUAGUAGGUGAGGUAAAGGCUCACCUAGGCGACGAUCCGUAGCGGGUCUGAGAGGAUGAUCCGCCACACUGGGACUGAGACACGGCCCAGACUCCUACGGGAGGCAGCAGUGGGGAAUUUUGGACA
RNAcentral lists this ribosomal RNA (266 nucleotides) under uncultured bacterium. Its description in RNAcentral is "partial 16S ribosomal RNA". It matches the Rfam family "Bacterial small subunit ribosomal RNA", at positions 104 to 370 of the family's 1533-position model. The record is from RNAcentral.